RNAcentral lists this ribosomal RNA (468 nucleotides) under uncultured bacterium. RNAcentral's name for it is "partial 16S ribosomal RNA". It matches the Rfam family "Bacterial small subunit ribosomal RNA", at positions 28 to 507 of the family's 1533-position model. The record is from RNAcentral.
GACGAACGCUGGCGGCGUGCUUAACACAUGCAAGUCGAACGGAAAGGCCCUGCUUUGGUGGGGUGCUCGAGUGGCGAACGGGUGAGUAACACGUGAGUAACCUGCCCUUGACUUUGGGAUAACUUCAGGAAACUGGGGCUAAUACCGGAUAGGAGCUCCUGCUGCAUGGUGGGGGUUGGAAAGUUUCGGUGGUUGGGGAUGGACUCGCGGCUUAUCAGCUUGUUGGUGGGGUAGUGGCUUACCAAGGCUUUGACGGGUAGCCGGCCUGAGAGGGUGACCGGCCACAUUGGGACUGAGAUACGGCCCAGCCUCCUACGGGAGGCAGCAGUGGGGAAUAUUGCACUAUGGGAGGAAGCCUGAUGCAGUAACGCCGCGUGCGGGAUGACGGCCAUCGGGUUGUGAACCGCUUUCGCCUGUGACGAAGCGUGAGUGACGGUAAUGGGUAAAGAAGCACCGGCUAACUACGUG